UGCUGCAGCUGUCUAUCUGG
This 20-nucleotide unclassified non-coding RNA is filed under the name Mus musculus (house mouse). RNAcentral describes it as "oocyte_clustered_small_RNA12273". Lineage: Eukaryota; Metazoa; Chordata; Mammalia; Rodentia; Muridae. The record is from RNAcentral.